Molecule: long non-coding RNA, 302 nt
Filed under: Lupinus mutabilis
Lineage: Eukaryota; Viridiplantae; Streptophyta; Magnoliopsida; Fabales; Fabaceae
Description: partial ncRNA
Source: RNAcentral
CUUUCUCUUCUUUCCUAACCUUCCAUCUUCUUCCCUUUUUUAUUCAAACUUCCAUCUUCUUCCCCAUCUAUAAUAAAUUAUAUCCAGCUUUAACAAGGUUUUAUUUUUAUAAUAAUCUUUCCUUUCUCUCUCACUCUCUUCAUUCUCAUUUUUUAUUCAAGUUUCUCUCUCACACUCUCUUCAUUCCCAUUUCUUAUUUAUGUUUUUUAUUCCGUUUUUCGUUUGGGACUUUUAUCAAACAUAUGGGAACCUUGGUUGACCAUGGUUCCUUUUGUUGUUUGAUUUCAUUACUCUGCAGUAGU